GUGGGGAAUAUUGGACAAUGGGGGGAACCCUGAUCCAGCCAUGCCGCGUGUGUGAAGAAGGCCUUUUGGUUGUAAAGCACUUUAAGCGAGGAGGAGGCUACCGAGAUUAAUACUCUUGGAUAGUGGACGUUACUCGCAGAAUAAGCACCGGCUAACUCUGUGCCAGCAGCCGCGGUAAUACAGAGGGUGCAAGCGUUAAUCGGAUUUACUGGGCGUAAAGCGCGCGUAGGUGGCCAAUUAAGUCAAAUGUGAAAUCCCCGAGCUUAACUUGGGAAUUGCAUUCGAUACUGGUUGGCUAGAGUAUGGGAGAGGAUGGUAGAAUUCCAGGUGUAGCGGUGAAAUGCGUAGAGAUCUGGAGGAAUACCGAUGGCGAAGGCAGCCAUCUGGCCUAAUACUGACACUGAGGUGCGAAAGCAUGGGGAGCAAACAGGAUUAGAAACCCGUGUAGUCC
RNAcentral lists this ribosomal RNA (451 nucleotides) under uncultured bacterium. RNAcentral's name for it is "bacterial SSU rRNA". It matches the Rfam family "Bacterial small subunit ribosomal RNA", at positions 354 to 796 of the family's 1533-position model. The record is from RNAcentral.